GGAGAGGUGGCAGAGUGGUCGAUUGCAGCUGCCUGCUAAGCAGUUGUCCUGGAAACGGGACCCAGGGUUCGAACCCCUGCCUCUCCGCCA
RNAcentral lists this transfer RNA (90 nucleotides) under Candidatus Omnitrophota bacterium. RNAcentral describes it as "tRNA-Ser". It matches the Rfam family "tRNA". Rfam says of the family: Transfer RNA (tRNA) molecules are approximately 80 nucleotides in length. Their secondary structure includes four short double-helical elements and three loops (D, anti-codon, and T loops). The record is from RNAcentral. Lineage: Bacteria; Pseudomonadati; Candidatus Omnitrophota.